Epinephelus lanceolatus (giant grouper) is the source of this 2403-nucleotide non-coding RNA. NCBI's taxonomy places the organism in Eukaryota, Metazoa, Chordata, Actinopteri, Perciformes, Serranidae. The record is from RefSeq and is a predicted model, not a curated record.
AUCGAUCAAAACUAGUCGCCGAUUGAUUUUCUGUAGAUCAAAUCGUUCUUUAAUUGUUUAAUUGUUGUAGCUCUUUUUGUUAUCGUUAGCAUGUUAGAAGCUAAUAUUAGCAUUAACGUUUGUAUUUACCUGCCUCAUGGAGCAGCUAGCUUUUCUUUCUACAAAAAUGUUCUAUUCUUCUGCUGUGUGUGUGUUUUGUUCUUAAGUAGUGCAGUGCCCGUUCAAAUCAUGCCUGUCUGAAUGGCCUGAUAGUUCGGGUUGUGAUAUUGCUGCAUGUUGUUUAUCGAAAACCGUUCAUUCAAACAGCUUCACACUCGAUAUUGCCCUUCCUUUGCUUCUGAGCGAUACAGCUGCUUUGACAUAGACGCGUCCCCUGGCAAUGCUAGAGUGUACGCAUCAUUUACUAACAGCUAGCUAUUUGGGAACAGAUGCAUUCAAUCUGAAAGUUACAUCGCUGAUCUUUUAAGUGUUUAAUUAGAGUGGAAUUUCUAACUUUGAUACAAUAUCUUGAAAAACAUUUGAUAUUCAACAAUAUUUUCAAUACCAUGGGAAAACCUGACAUUGACGGCAAUUUAGAUUUUUUAUUAAAAGAUGAACACAGCAAGGCUAAAACAUGACGACAACUUGUCUUUCCUUGGUCAUAUGCAGAGAACAGCAGAAUGACUGAUAAGAGAAGGCAAAAAAGCGUAGCCGGUACCGUUGUAUCAAUACAGCUGAAUAUUCAGAAUGGAUAUGUAUCUGUAAAUCAAUGUUUUGCCAGUAUUACCACAGUGUAACAUCUCCAGUCUCUCCGUCUUCAUCUGUUCUUGGAUGUACUGUAGCGAUCGAUAAAAAGCAAGCUGUACCCAGCAUGCCAUUCGACGGUGUCCCCUCUCAAUACACUACACAGUGUGUGCAUAACAUACUACUAAUGACUAUGUCCUGUAGAUCUCAAGAGCUCGCCUUGGGUCCUCAGCUAUACACACACCAAGUGUGAAGUCGAUCAGAUGAAUGGUUGUCGAGAAAAUUGAAGGACAGACGGACAGAGACUUCUUCCAUUUUAGUUAGAUUGUUUGUCUUUUUUACAAAGCAUGUCAGGGUUAUACGUGGUCAUAGCCAUACGGUAUGUGAGCCCUGGCAAACAGAGUGACCAGAGCGGUCUCUAUUUGACAAGUAGAGAGGUGACCGAACCUUCAUCACAUCUCAGGUCAGGUGACCAGUGGGCCAAAUCCCCCCCAAAACUCAUUCUUUAACUCCACUGGUGUGGAGUCAGGAGUUUGCCUCCAGAAGGAGAUAAAAGACAACAUCGUCCUGCCUGUGCUCUGCUCAACUUAAAUCUACAGUAUGUAAACCCACGAGGAAUUUCAUGAAUGCUGUCAGUGCCCUGUGUCGGAGGGAUGACUAAGCUGCUUUCACUCCACCAGCUCCACCUGGACUCGACUGUGAAAUCCGCUCAUAGGAACCAAAUGGUACCGUCUUUGAGUUUGGAUUCAAGCGACUGUCGAUGGCUUUAUUAUGUGUAUAUGUUGGACCAGGAAACACUUUAAAAUCUACAAAACGGACUGCAACCACCAGCGUUAUGUGCCCACACUUGAUGUUAAACAAAAUUCAAGAAGAAGUCUUUUCUGACAAAGCAGAGAAACCUGAGACAUUGCUCCGGACUCCGCCCACGUCGGUGUACAGUUGACCCCAGAUUAACCUCCCAGGUAAAUAUAAUCCUCCUCUGUAUCACCUCUCACUCCUCAUACCGGCCUAUGAACACACGGGGAUGCCAAGGUCUGGCGACAGUCGGCAGCCAAUGAAAGACGAGUGUGAGUUUUUCUUUUCCUGUCCUGCAUGGAAAUAGAAGAAAACAGUCCCAGCAUGCAGGCUGCUAUCAGCGCAUCUGCUGUCCCUUCCAGACUCUUCUCUCUCUCUCACACACACACACACUUUAACUCAUCGAGGCCUGCGAGGUCUCACACACCAAAGUUUCUGUCUGUCUUUAUCUGUCACUGUCUGUCUCUGUUUCUAGAUACAAAUCACAACCACUCAUGCAAAGACAAAAAAAAAAAGGUCCAGCUCGGUUCCAGUUCAUCUCCUGGACAAGUGUGAACAAAAUGUCAACAGUUUCCAGUCCACCCACAUUCACACACACCUCUCACCGGAGCAGGCGAGAGGCCAAAAGGUCAACAGUUGACAACAGGCGACGCUCUGCAAUCGAUUGUCCUAUUGAACAGUGUGAAGACCCUCAGCUCAGAUAAACUUUAACUUGUGACAACCUGCGACCCCUCCUCAGAAGUUUAGAUCUGCCAGCAAAGAGUUGAUCUUCAGUGCCACCUCCUCUCGCAUGAAAAUAUCUGGGUACCGGGUUUUGGCGAACAGAGCCUCCAGGACGUCGAGCUGAGAGCGGGUGAAGGUGGUCCGCUCCCGACGCUGCUUCCU